This 468-nucleotide ribosomal RNA is filed under the name uncultured bacterium. RNAcentral's name for it is "partial 16S ribosomal RNA". It matches the Rfam family "Bacterial small subunit ribosomal RNA", at positions 28 to 507 of the family's 1533-position model. The record is from RNAcentral.
GACGAACGCUGGCGGCGUGCUUAACACAUGCAAGUCGAACGGACAGGCCCUGCUUUUGUGGGGUGCUCGAGUGGCGAACGGGUGAGUAACACGUGAGUAACCUGCCCUUGACUUUGGGAUAACUUCAGGAAACUGGGGCUAAUACCCGAUAGGAGCUCCUGCUGCAUGUUGGUGGUUGGAAAGUUUCGGCGGUUGGGGAUGGACUCGCUGCUUAUCAGCUUGUUGGUGUGGUAGUGGCUUACCAAGGCUUUGACGGGUAGCCGGCCUGAGAGGGUGACCGGGGACAAUGGGACUGAGAGACGGAGCAGAAUGGAACGGGAGGCAGCAGUGGGGAAUAUUGCACAAUGGGCGGAAGCCUGAUGCAGAAACGCCGCGAGCGGGAUGACGGGCUACGGGUUGUAAACAGAUGUCGAAUGAGACGAAGAGUGAGUGACGGUAAUGGGUAAAGAAGCACCGGCUAACUACGUG